This 482-nucleotide ribosomal RNA is filed under the name uncultured bacterium. RNAcentral describes it as "partial 16S ribosomal RNA". It matches the Rfam family "Bacterial small subunit ribosomal RNA", at positions 28 to 507 of the family's 1533-position model. The record is from RNAcentral.
GACGAACGCUGGCGGCGUGCUUAACACAUGCAAGUCGAACGAUGAAGAAGAGAAACGCGAACUUCGGUUCAAAUUUCACUUCGGAUUAGUGGCAGACGGGUGAGUAACGCGUGAGCAACCUACCUCUUACAAAGGGAUAGCCUCGGGAAACCGUGAUUAAUACCAUAUGACACAUUCAUAAGGCAUCUUAAGAAUGUUAAAGCUACGGCGGUAAGAGAUGGGCUCGCGUCCCAUUAGCUAGUUGGUGAGGUAACGGCCCACCAAGGCGACGAUGGGUAACCGGCCUGAGAGGGUGAACGGUCACAUUGGAAAUGAGACACGGUCCAAACUCCUACGGGAGGCAGCAGUGGGGAAUAUUGCACAAUGGAGGGAACUCUGAUGCAGCGACGCCGCGUGAGAGAUGAAGGAAUUCGUUUCGUAAAGCUCUGUUCUAUGGGAAGAAAAGGACUGUACCAUAGGAGAAAGCCCCGGCUAAAUACGUG